This 72-nucleotide transfer RNA is filed under the name Camelus bactrianus (Bactrian camel). It matches the Rfam family "tRNA". Rfam says of the family: Transfer RNA (tRNA) molecules are approximately 80 nucleotides in length. Lineage: Eukaryota; Metazoa; Chordata; Mammalia; Artiodactyla; Camelidae. The record is from Rfam by way of RNAcentral. RNAcentral also lists the same sequence under 2 other names.
GAGGGUAUAGCUCAGUGGUAGGGUGCGUGCCGAGGAUGCACAAGGUCCUGGGUUCAAUUCCCAGUACCUCCA